RNAcentral lists this ribosomal RNA (497 nucleotides) under uncultured bacterium. Its description in RNAcentral is "partial 16S ribosomal RNA". It matches the Rfam family "Bacterial small subunit ribosomal RNA", at positions 28 to 507 of the family's 1533-position model. The record is from RNAcentral.
GAUGAACGCUGGCGGCGUGCCUAAUACAUGCAAGUCGAGCGCACGGACGAGAAGCUUGCUUCUCUGAUGUUAGCGGCGGACGGGUGAGUAACACGUGGAUAACCUACCUAUAAGACUGGGAUAACUUCGGGAAACCGGAGCUAAUACCGGAUAAUAUUUUGAACCGCAUGGUUCAAAAGUGAAAGACGGUCUUGCUGUCACUUAUAGAUGGAUCCGCGCUGCAUUAGCUAGUUGGUAAGGUAACGGCGUACCAAGGCAACGAUGCAUAGCCGACCUGAGAGGGUGAUCGGCCACCCUGGAACUUAGACACGGUCCAGACUCCUACGGGAGGCAGCAGUAGGGAAUCUUCCGCAAUGGGCGAAAGCCUGACGGAGCAACGCCGCGUGAGUGAGUAAGGUCUUCGGAUCGUAAAACUCUGUUAUUAGGGAAGAACAUAUGUGUAAGUAACUGUGCACAUCUUGACGGUACCUAAUCAGAAAGCCACGGCUAACUACGUG